AUUGAACGCUAGCGGGAUGCUUUACACAUGCAAGUCGAACGGCAGCGCGGACUUCGGUCUGGCGGCGAGUGGCGAACGGGUGAGUAAUGUAUCGGAACGUGCCCAGUAGCGGGGGAUAACUACGCGAAAGCGUAGCUAAUACCGCAUACGCCCUACGGGGGAAAGCAGGGGAUCGUAAGACCUUGCACUAUUGGAGCGGCCGAUAUCGGAUUAGCUAGUUGGUGAGGUAACGGCUCACCAAGGCGACGAUCCGUAGCUGGUUUGAGAGGACGACCAGCCAAACUGGGACUGAGACACGGCCCAGACUCCUACGGGAGGCAGCAGUGGGGAAUUUUGGACAAUGGGGGCAACCCUGAUCCAGCCAGCCCGCGUGUGCGAUGAAGGCCUUCGGGUUGUAAAGCACUUUUGGCAGGAAAGAAACGUCGCGGGCUAAUACCCCGUGGAACUGACGGUACCUGCAGAAUAAGCACCGGCUAACUACGUG
Molecule: ribosomal RNA, 484 nt
Filed under: uncultured bacterium
Lineage: Bacteria
Description: partial 16S ribosomal RNA
Rfam family: Bacterial small subunit ribosomal RNA
Source: RNAcentral